RNAcentral lists this ribosomal RNA (305 nucleotides) under uncultured bacterium. RNAcentral's name for it is "bacterial SSU rRNA". It matches the Rfam family "Bacterial small subunit ribosomal RNA", at positions 334 to 634 of the family's 1533-position model. The record is from RNAcentral.
UAGCCUAGGGAGGCAGCAGUAGGGAAUUUUCGUCAAUGGGCGCAAGCCUGAACGAGCAAUGCCGCGUGAACGAGGAAGGUCUUCGGAUCGUAAAGUUCUGUUGAAGGGGAAAAAGAGCGGAGAGAGGAAAUGGUCUCCGAUCGAUAUUACCCUUCGAGGAAGUCACGGCUAACUAUGUGCCAGCAGCCGCGGUAAUACGUAGGUGGCGAGCGUUAUCCGGAAUGAUUGGGCGUAAAGGGUGCGUAGGCGGCCUGCUAAGUCUGGAGUGAAAGGUACCGGCUCAACCGGUACAGGCUCUGGAAACC